AAUCAGAAUUCUGCCAGGCCAGGAACAAGAAAAAAAGAGUCACUGACAGCUUUAUUUCUUGGGAUCUAGAAGGACUGACCCAACUUAGCUAUCCAGUAAAGACGCUCAGAGCGUGCCACAGGCCAAGCACUCAGCAGACACUGAGUACGUGCUGAUGGAUGGUCCUGGAGGAAUUCAAAGCAGAUAAAUACAUAUAUGCCUGGGUAUGUCUAAAUAAAUUUAUUUCCAAGAACUACUAGGUGUUGAGA
This is a long non-coding RNA of Manis pentadactyla (Chinese pangolin), 248 nucleotides long. RefSeq lists it as uncharacterized. The record is from RefSeq and is a predicted model, not a curated record. The transcript has 3 exons. Lineage: Eukaryota; Metazoa; Chordata; Mammalia; Pholidota; Manidae.